CAGUCGAACGAAGCUGUUUUAACUGGUGCUUGCACCGACUUAAACAACUGAGUGGCGAACGGGUGAGUAACACGUGGGUAACCUGCCCCAAAGCGGGGGAUAACAUUUGGAAACAGAUGCUAAUACCGCAUAACCACAGAAACCACAUGGUUUCUGUGUCAAAGAUGGUUUCGGCUAUCACUUUGGGAUGGACCCGCGGCGUAUUAGCUAGUUGGUAAGGUAAUGGCUUACCAAGGCAAUGAUACGUAGCCGAACUGAGAGGUUGAUCGGCCACAUUGGGACUGAGACACGGCCCAAACUCCUACGGGAGGCAGCAGUAGGGAAUCUUCCACAAUGGACGAAAGUCUGAUGGAGCAACGCCGCGUGAGUGAAGAAGGUUUUCGGAUCGUAAAACUCUGUUGUCAGAGAAGAACGUGUGCGAGAGUAACUGCUCGUGCAGUGACGGUAUCUGGCCAGAAAGCCACGGCUAACUACGUGCCAGCAGCCGCGGUAAUACGUAGGUGGCAAGCGUUGUCCGGAUUUAUUGGGCGUAAAGGGAACGCAGGCGGUCUUUUAAGUCUGAUGUGAAAGCCUUCGGCUUAACCGAAGUCGUGCAUUGGAAACUGGGAGACUUGAGUGCAGAA
Molecule: ribosomal RNA, 623 nt
Filed under: Liquorilactobacillus nagelii
Lineage: Bacteria; Bacillati; Bacillota; Bacilli; Lactobacillales; Lactobacillaceae
Description: bacterial SSU rRNA
Rfam family: Bacterial small subunit ribosomal RNA
Source: RNAcentral